Molecule: long non-coding RNA, 2588 nt
Filed under: Pan troglodytes (chimpanzee)
Lineage: Eukaryota; Metazoa; Chordata; Mammalia; Primates; Hominidae
Description: lincRNA
Source: RNAcentral
UUCUUCCCAGUCUCCACGGCUCCAGACGGCCGCUCAUCCCUGCUCCCCGUGUGUCCCUCGGUCCUCUCUGCAGCUCCCAGCCCUCAACUCCUUACCCCAGUUUGGGCAACCAGCUGCCCCGCUGUUUGGCCCAGGCCUGGGCCAUGGUGGGUGGGUGGGCGCCCGGGGCCGCGAGAAGGGCGGAACGCUGUGCCCAGCCGGAGACUACGCUGGGUGGCGGCGGCAGCGCCGGGAGUCUGCAGUGCGCGAGGGAGAAGUGAGCGCACAGCGCCCAGCGAGCAGGUGCCUGCGGCGCGGAGAGCGCACACGCUAGCCAGCCCGCAGCGGCCGAAAGUGACCACUGUUCCUGGAGGAUUUGCAUUGCUGGAGAAGUGCAUUCUAACAGUGGAAUUCAGGCGGCGAGAGUCGGUCAAUUCACCGUACCAUGUGGACUCCCCAAUGUGGAGCAGAAUCUGAGGACUGACUUGCUAAGAAUCUCUGGGCACCCUGGAUAGAACCUUCCCUUUGGCUCUGAGCAUGGUGGCUCACACCUGAGAUCCCAGCACUUCGGAAGGCCGAGGUGGGAGAAUUGCUUGAGGCCAGGAGUUCGAGACCAGCCUAGUUCCUGGAUGCAAACCUUGAGAAGUCAACUUGGAGAACGAGCUAAGUUUCCAUUGUCCAGAGCUCAGGUGCUGGGACAGGUGGCACCCAGAUCUUCCAGCCAUAUGUGGAGUGGCUGGUGGAGUCUUAUCUCUCUCUCCAGAGUGUGUCCCCGCAGUGGAGGCUGGCCUUUCAUCUCAGCACCAGGGUGCCCAGGGCCCAGUUGAUCCAGGAAGUUUGUUGAAUGAAUGAGUGAUUGGCACAUUCUGGGCAGGAGACUGUCUGGCCCAGAAGAAUGCCUGGUUUCCCUCAGGGCAGGGCACUCCCCUGUGCAGACAGGCGGGCAUGGAGCAGAAACAGCCAGGGUGGACGAGCUUUUCAGCAGCAUGAAGGCAACAGCCGAUUUGUUCACAGUCGAGAGUGAAGGAAUGAAUUUACGAGAACCUGCAUGAACUAUGUGAUCAUAGUGUUGGCGGUCAGACUGUGAGGCACAGGAAGAUGGAUCAGAGGGUCAAAGGGGCACCAUCUACAGCUCAUUUCCCCGUCCUCCAACCAAUGGGCCUGCCCCAGACCUGCUCCCCUGUCCCUGGGGAGGAGGAGGAGGAUAUUCCAGACUCACGGACCUGAGCCUCUCUGGGCAUAUGUCCAGUCUCUGUCCUGCAGAGAUGCCUUGGGCCUCCCAUUGCAACAGCAUCCUUCCCCUGAUGUGGGAAAGAAUUUCCUAAUCGCCCUCACCUCUGGCUUCAGGUCCAUGCAACACAAGCCCUGUUUCGGGCCUCCUGUGUUCAGGCUCCUGAGCACGGCUUCCCUUUUUGAAACCAGGGAGGCUGGUGUUGCCUGCAGAAGCAUCUUGUGAGUUGUGGGAGGGGCCACAUGGAAGGCCAGACAUGGGAGUGAAGUGUGAAGCACCAGCCUUCCUGACUUCCAGACCCAGGUCAGCCUCCCGCCUCUCCUCCUGCUGAAUCUUUCUGAUCCUGUGGUUUCUCCUCUCUGAAACGGGGAUGCUGAUGGUUCCAUAAUCAAAGUCCUGUGCUGAUUCAUUGCAAUGAUGACUGUUUAGCCCCAGCUGCAGGAAAAAAAAAAAAAGAACAGAACAAAACUAGACCGGGUAUGGUAGCUCACGCCUGUUAAGUCCAGCACUUUGGGAGGCUGAGGCAGGAGGAUCACUUGAGGCCAGGAGUUCGGGACCAGCCCGGGCAACAUAGCAAGCCCUCUAUCUCUACAAACAACAACAACAGCAGCAGCAAAAUCCCACUAAAAUAAUAAAAUGCUCACUGUAAGCACAGAGUACUUCUCUGCCCUACUGACUUGCUCCUCCUACUGAGCAGGCCACGUGACUUGCUCCAACGAAUGGAAUGUGUGCAGAUAUGAAUGUCACAUCCAGCCAGAGGCUUUCAAUGUGGUUGAAGCUGGACUCUUGCCCUCUUGCCUUGCACUUGGAGAAGAAUAUGCGCCAGGAUGCUUCAGUAGAAAGUGGAAAUGCUGUCUCCCGAAUUUGCUGAACAAUGAUGUUCCGAGGAGACCUGCACUUGAGAACAAAAGUGACUACUCUUUUGUCCUAAUCUUAAAUCCCAUCACCUUGGCUGCAACUGCUGAGUGCUGGUAAUGAGUGUUGAGAGGCAAUCCAAGGAUGGUGAUUAGGUAUUAAGCCUGGGCAGGUAUUCACCGAGAGGUGUGUGGACCUUUCGCUCAGCACCACAAGAGCAGAUCUCUGCCAGCAAGCUUAUCUGGCCAUCAGCCAGGGACAGAGCUGCAUUGUGGCAAAGUGAAAUGUGAUUUUAAUGAUUCUGAGCACAUGGUUUCUGCCUCCAGCAUGCUAGAUUUGUAGACUGGCAUUUUUUUUCCCUUGGGUAGAUUCCAGAUGUUGUAUAACUUGUGCCUUUCUAAGUUACAGCAUGGUAGAUGGGGACUUGUCUUUGUUAUGAGCAUGUACAAUGUGGGUCGCAGUUAAGCACUGUCAAAUAGCCUCCUAAAAGAUGAGUUUGUGUGGAAUAAAGCACUGAAAAAGG